UGUCAAGAUAUUGUCUGUGUCUUUUUUGA
RNAcentral lists this non-coding RNA (29 nucleotides) under Mus musculus (house mouse). The record is from RNAcentral. Lineage: Eukaryota; Metazoa; Chordata; Mammalia; Rodentia; Muridae.